This 2930-nucleotide unclassified non-coding RNA is filed under the name Octopus sinensis (East Asian common octopus). RNAcentral's name for it is "late secretory pathway protein AVL9 homolog, transcript variant X2". The record is from RNAcentral. Lineage: Eukaryota; Metazoa; Mollusca; Cephalopoda; Octopoda; Octopodidae.
CCAAUCAGAACCGGUGUUGUAAGUUGCCUCCUUCGAAAAAGGAAGUCAAGUAGGCUAACAAAACAAACACACCCAAGCAAAGCAAAAAAGAGAAAUAUAACAGAAAAAUAAUAAACAAAAGGAAAGAAAGAAGAGGAAAAACAAACCAUAUUACACUCACAUCACACAGUUUCAUGCAUCACUGACGUUUACUGUGUGAGACGGGGGGAAAACAAGAUGUAUGUUGUAAGACUCAUAACAUAACUUGACAUAUUCAGGGAUUACAUCGUAAAAAGAAGAAUAAUAAUAACAAUCAAGGGAUUUGAAUUGAAAAAUUCCGACGGAGACUAAAAACGACGACAGCAUCGAGGGGAAAAAAUUAUAUUUAUAUUUCUUUUAAUUGUUAUUACCAUAAGGAAAGAGAGAAGUACACAAGAUGUCGACUUGAACAAGGCAAGGUACAUUGGAAAAAAAAUAUGUCUUCGAAGAGUGGGGUGUCGUCUCCGGCCAGUGGCGACCAGGAUUACAACAGAGUUGGUGGCGGUGGCGUGGAAGAUGAUGACAGCAGGCGACGCAAAAACCCCAUACUGCAUGUUAUUGUGGUGGGGUUUCAUCACAAGAAGGGCUGCCAGGUUGAAUAUUCCUACCCACCUCUGAUUGAAGGUAACUCAGUGGACAGUCAUGAACUACCCGAUGAGUGGCGCCACCUACCAUCUCUUGCUCUCCCUGAUGGAGCACACAAUUAUACUAAAGAUACCAUAUUCUUUCAUCUCCCAUCCAGAGAUGGUGAAUACAGUACUGUAUAUGGUGUGUCUUGCUACCAGCAGAUGGACUCAAAGGACCUGAUCACCAGAUCGAAGGAAGUCACCAGAAACACUGUACAGAAAAGCGUGUGUGUUCUUAGCAAACUGCCCUUUUAUGGAUUAAUCCAGACCAAACUGGAAUUAAUUACUCAUGCCUACUUUGAUGAGAGAGACUUCAGUAAAGUGGAACUGCUCAUUGACACAUACCGCAACCUCAGUACAUUGCUGACAGACAGCCAGACUGACAGCACCAAAAUCUACCUCGGUCUUCCUGCUCGGGACCUCGUUAUACUUUAUCGUCACAAGAUCCUCAUUUUAUUUAAACUCCUUCUUCUGGAACGACGGGUACUAUUUACAGGGAAACCAGUCCAAGAGCUGUGUCAAACUAUGUUAGGUGUCAUGUCACUCUUUCCAGGUUUAAUAGAAUAUGGCCUGAAGGAAUCUGCCUGCUAUUCCCCUCACAGACAAAUCUCACCAACAUUAAAAUUUCACCAAAUGGAAUCCGACGACGGAUUCCUAGAGGUCAGCUACCACAAAAAUACCAACUGUGAUAUUCCCAUCCCCCCCAGACCACCUUCAAGAACCACGAGUUUAGCAUCCGAGCCAGAGAAUCAGACGAUAGUCCGUGACGAGAAUGACGAGCUAGAUUUACCGUGCAGUCCAUUCAGAUCAGCGCCACUACCCUCAUCAGACACAUUCCCUACAACUGCAAUGUCUCUGCCACGCAGUACCGAAGCUGGAUCUCAGAAAGACAUGACCAUCACAAAAGACACCAAUGCUUCACACUCAAGCUCUGUGUCAACUGUUUCAUCUGUGACAAAAAUGGAACUUGAUGCAACAGAGAAAGAUUUGCUAAAUAACAACAAUCAGAACUGUAGAAUUUCCUCCCAUGCUGAUGGAUCUUCAUCUCCUGUCAUCAGUAGGGCUGAAUUACAUAACACAACAAAGACCACUCUAGGUCACAUGGUUGCAGAAGAUGAUUUGCUCAAAGAUCAAGGGAAGACUCGCUCUUCAGAGAGACGCCUCAAGGUAGACUUGGAGAUUGACGAAAAUGAAACCUUAUCUGAAGACCUGAAACGAAGUGAGAGUAUUGAAGAACUGGACUCUCCAGAGUCAAUCAGUAAAAUUGAUCGAGAGGAUUGCUUCUCAUGGGAGGAAGACCGUAUUGUACUUGAAAUAAAUGAUGAACAUGAUUCAAAGAGUGAUUGCGAAAGGUCUCCAUGCCUAGUGUCAAGCAAUUCCACUGAUCCAUCAACUGCUACAACCACCACUUCCACCACCAAUGGCGUCUGUGAUAAAAAUGGCAGGCCACAUAAGAUUGAGGCUAUUUCUGAGCUCCCUGGUGGCACAGCUGGACUAAUACAUCCCACUGCUGACAAUUCCUGUGAGAUGCCAUUGAAAAAUUCAUCAACUACGCUGACACAAUCCAAAGAAGACACUGCUGACGAUCCAUUUCUCCCAUCUGAAGAUUCCCACCAGGGGUCAAAUAAAAAACCCUCAUCUUUGAAUAUUGAAAGCAAUUCCUUAGAGGAUGGUAUAGCCAUGACAACAACACUUCAAGCAGAUGAAUAUGGUCUCCCUUUGGCAAUAUUUUCCAAGGGCUGCCUGUGUCAUCCCUAUCUCUCGCUGCAGUUCUUUGAUCUCCUUGAAGAUGUAAAUGUGCGGGGUUUCGUAAUUGGUGCCACAAAUAUAUUGUUUAAACAGCGCAAACACCUCACUGAUGUCGUCGUAGAGGUAAACGAUGGACGAAUCGACUUCCAUGACAAUGAAUUGAAGAAACAGCUGAAUCUAACAACAACAGAUUUGAGGUUUGCAGACUACCUCGUGAAAAUUGUCACCGAAAAUAAAACCCUUUUCCUUGAUGGUACAGAGUGGGAAGGAGGAGACGAAUGGGUGAGACUACAGUUCAAGGAAUACAUCUUGUCCCUGCUCGCCAGCACGCAUAAUGGAGACAUCCAUUCCAAGGGCAUUUGAAUAUGAGUGAUCUUCGUGUGCGGUUGUCACACACCAUGCAGAGCACAGAGAAGGGUAAGAAACUAAAUGCUGCUGUGUCCCAAACCGGGAAAUAUGUUGUACAGACUGGCAAAGUAUUUGGUGGCGCCAUCACCUCUGCUAAGUCAGCCAUGAGCUCAUGGUUCAGCAGUUUUA